This 427-nucleotide ribosomal RNA is filed under the name uncultured bacterium. RNAcentral describes it as "bacterial SSU rRNA". It matches the Rfam family "Bacterial small subunit ribosomal RNA", at positions 355 to 774 of the family's 1533-position model. The record is from RNAcentral.
UGGGGAAUUUUGGACAAUGGGCGCAAGCCUGAUCCAGCCAUGCCGCGUGCAGGAUGAAGGCCUUCGGGUUGUAAACUGCUUUUGUACGGAACGAAAAGACUCCUUCUAAUAAAGGGGGUCCAUGACGGUACCGUAAGAAUAAGCACCGGCUAACUACGUGCCAGCAGCCGCGGUAAUACGUAGGGUGCGAGCGUUAAUCGGAAUUACUGGGCGUAAAGCGUGCGCAGGCGGUUAUAUAAGACAGAUGUGAAAUCCCCGGGCUCAACCUGGGAACUGCAUUUGUAACUGUAUAGCUAGAGUACGGUAGAGGUGAAUGGAAUUUCAGGUGUAGCAGUGAAAUGCGUAGAGAUGCGAAGGAACACCGGUGGCGAAGGCGAUUCACUGGGCCUGAACUGACGCUGAUGCACGAAAGCGUGGGGAGCAAACA